GACGAACGCUGGCGGCGUGCCUAAUACAUGCAAGUCGAACGAGUGGCGGACGGGUGAGUAAUGUCUGGGAAACUGCCUGAUGGAGGGGGAUAACUACUGGAAAAGGUAGCUAAUACCGCAUACCAUCGGAUGUGCCCAGAUGGGAUUAGCUAGUAGGUGGGGUAAAGGCUCACCUAGGCGACGAUCCCUAGCUGGUCUGAGAGGAUGACCAGCCACACUGGACCUGAGACACGUUCAAGACUCCGACGUGUGGGAGCAGUGGGGAAUAUUGCACAAUGGGAGCAAGCCUGAUUCAGCCAUGCCGCGUGUAUGAAGAAGGCCUUCGGGUGGUAAAGUACUUUCAGCGGGGAGGCGUUACCCGCAGAAGAAGCACCGGCUAACUCCUUGCCAGCAGCCGCGGUAAUAC
This 406-nucleotide ribosomal RNA is filed under the name uncultured bacterium. RNAcentral's name for it is "partial 16S ribosomal RNA". It matches the Rfam family "Bacterial small subunit ribosomal RNA", at positions 28 to 526 of the family's 1533-position model. The record is from RNAcentral.